Molecule: long non-coding RNA, 686 nt
Organism: Felis catus (domestic cat)
Lineage: Eukaryota; Metazoa; Chordata; Mammalia; Carnivora; Felidae
Exons: 6
Source: RefSeq, a predicted model, not a curated record
GCUAUAUCUUGACUUUGAAAAGGGAGACUUCAGUCUUUGGAAUGCUUGAAUCCCAGAUCUUCAGGACCCUCUGUUAUUGUUGCUUCCUUCAUAAGGUCUUUAAUGAAUAUUUACAGAGCUCAAUAUUAUCCAGACCUGAAAGAAUAACAUUGUUAUCAAAAGGCAAAACUCAGUACAGACUACUUCCUUUUGAAACCUAUUUCAAAUUCUCUUUGCAACUCUCUCCCCAGGGGAAGCAGAGGAAAACUGAAUGGUAUUAUCAAGUUUUCUGUUUUCUACUGAUACACGCUGGUGCAGAGGGCUAAACCAGAGUUAUGUGCCAUGUCUUUGUCUCUGAGCUGCUUGCUAUCUGUACUCGAGUCCCUUCUGGAUUUUGAGUCAAAGAAUUUAGAUUUCUGUUCCUGUCUCUUUUCCCUGGAUUCCAGGAGUGGGAAGGUGACUCAGAACGGGUGUUUGGGAGAGAAAAAGAAAGUGAGAGGGAAUGAACGUUCUCUUUGUGACUUCAGAAAAGUGCUUUAUGUAUUAUCCUGAAAGCCAGGAGUGCUUGAGGAAUAUCACAUGUAUCCCACCUGGGGGCCGGGGUGUGCCAGCUUUUGCUGCUUGCCCUAUGGUCCCUCAUCACUAAGAUAUAAUAACUGUUCAAGUAACUGGUAACUUGAAGAAAUACCAAAAGCUAUUUUGGUAAA